AUUGAACGCUGGCGGCAGGCCUAACACAUGCAAGUCGAACGAGUGUCGGUCGGGUGAGUAAUGUCUGGGCAACUGCCCGCUGGCUGGUGAUAAGUACUGGAAACGGUAGCUAAUACCGCAUACCAUCGGAUGUGCCCAGAUGGGAUUAGCUAGUAGGUGGGGUAACGUCUCACAUUGGCUACGCUCCCUAGCUGGUCUGAGAGGAUGAACAGCCACAGGGGAACUGAGACACGGUCCAGACCCCUACGGGAGGAAGCAGUGGGGAAUAUUGGAAAAGGGGCGAAAGCCGGAUGCAGCAAGGCCGCGUGUAUGAAGAGGGCCUUCGGGUUGUAAAGUACUUUCAGCGAGGAGGCGUUAAUCGCAGAAGAAGCACCGGCUAACUACGUGCCAGCCGCCGCGGUAAUUC
This 406-nucleotide ribosomal RNA is filed under the name uncultured bacterium. RNAcentral describes it as "partial 16S ribosomal RNA". It matches the Rfam family "Bacterial small subunit ribosomal RNA", at positions 30 to 526 of the family's 1533-position model. The record is from RNAcentral.